This 153-nucleotide non-coding RNA is filed under the name Ditylum brightwellii. The record is from RNAcentral. Lineage: Eukaryota; Bacillariophyta; Thalassiosirophyceae; Lithodesmiales; Lithodesmiaceae.
AAGGUGUGGUGGCUGACGAGAAAGAGGACAAGGAAAGUGACUAUAAAGAGGAAAGUUCUGUUGUGCCGAAUAACGAUGAAGGACAGGAGGAUGUGGAAUCAUCAACAGAUGUGGAUGUUGAAACAUCUGACAAUGACGGAGAACAGGAGGAAG